RNAcentral lists this ribosomal RNA (497 nucleotides) under uncultured bacterium. Its description in RNAcentral is "partial 16S ribosomal RNA". It matches the Rfam family "Bacterial small subunit ribosomal RNA", at positions 28 to 507 of the family's 1533-position model. The record is from RNAcentral.
GAUGAACGCUGGCGGCGUGCCUAAUACAUGCAAGUCGAGCGAACAGACGAGGAGCUUGCUCCUCUGACGUUAGCGGCGGACGGGUGAGUAACACGUGGAUAACCUACCUAUAAGACUGGGAUAACUUCGGGAAACCGGAGCUAAUACCGGAUAAUAUAUUGAACCGCAUGGUUCAAUAGUGAAAGACGGUUUUGCUGUCACUUAUAGAUGGAUCCGCGCCGCAUUAGCUAGUUGGUAAGGUAACGGCUUACCAAGGCAACGAUGCGUAGCCGACCUGAGAGAGUGAUAGGCCACACUGGAACUGAGACACGGUCCAGGGUCCUGCGGGAGGCCGCAGUAGGGAAUCUUCCGCAAUGGGCGAAAACAUGACGGAGCAGCGCCGCGUGAGUGAUGAAGGUCUUCGGAUCGUAAAACUCUGUUAUUAGGGAAGAACAAAUGUGUAAGUAACUAUACACGUCUUGACGGUACCUGAUCAGAAAGCCACGGCUAACUACGUG